GCCGGAGUGGCGGAAUGGCAGACGCGGUGGACUCAAAAUCCAUUGUAGGCAACUACGUGAGGGUUCAAAUCCCUCCUCCGGCACCA
RNAcentral lists this transfer RNA (86 nucleotides) under Actinomycetes bacterium. RNAcentral's name for it is "tRNA-Leu". It matches the Rfam family "tRNA". Rfam says of the family: Transfer RNA (tRNA) molecules are approximately 80 nucleotides in length. Their secondary structure includes four short double-helical elements and three loops (D, anti-codon, and T loops). The record is from RNAcentral. Lineage: Bacteria; Bacillati; Actinomycetota; Actinomycetes.